GGGGGGGGCGGGGGGGGGGCCGAGCACAUGCAAGUCGGGGGGCAGCACAGUAAGAGCUUGCUCUUACGGGUGGCGAGUGGCGGACGGGUGAGGAAUACAUCGGAAUCUACUUUUUCGUGGGGGAUAACGUAGGGAAACUUACGCUAAUACCGCAUACGACCUCCGGGUGAAAGCAGGGGAUCUUCGGACCUUGCUCGAUUGAAUGAGUCGCUGUCGGAUUAUCUAGUUGGCGGGGUACAGUCCCACCAAGGCGACGAUCCGUAGCUGGUCUGAGAGGAUGAUCACCCACACUGGAACUGAGACACGGUCCCGACUCCUACGGGAGGCAGCAGUGGGGAAUAUUGGACAAUGGGCGCAAGCCUGAUCCAGCCAUACCGCGUGGGUGAAGAAGGCCUUCGGGUUGUAAAGCCCUUUUGUUGGGAAAGAAAAGCAGCAGGUUAAUACCCCGCUGUUCUGACGGUACCCAAAGAAUAAGCACCGGCUAACUUCGUG
This 492-nucleotide ribosomal RNA is filed under the name uncultured bacterium. RNAcentral describes it as "partial 16S ribosomal RNA". It matches the Rfam family "Bacterial small subunit ribosomal RNA", at positions 35 to 507 of the family's 1533-position model. The record is from RNAcentral.